AGAUGAGAUGAAGGAGGCCAAUAGAAGUUAAGAGAUCUUCCCAAGGUUAUAAACAGACAAACCUGGAAUAGAAGCCAGCCUGGAACUCGAAGCUGCUUCUAACAAAAGCCUCCCUGCUUCACCUGUGAAACUGCAUUUGCUGGAUCACCAGUGACCUCGUCUUGAUAACUGUAACAUCCACAUCUUCCUGUCCCGGUCACAUUGGCUGUUUGCUAUUGAAUAUCGCCUGGCUUUCUCAGAUCUUCCUUCCUCCUGACGUCUUUGUGAGGGUGUUGGUACUGGCUCAGGGGGUUCACAGCUAAGAGUUUGCUUUUAGUCUCAGAGAAGAUUUUGGACUUAGACUUUUCAGCCAUGUGAAACUGUCACAACUUUGGUGAUGCGAGAUGGACUAAAUGCAUUUUGCAUAAAGAAAUACACACGAGUCUUUUGGGGCUCAGGGAUGGAAUGUUAUGGUUUAGAUCUAAAAUGGCUCCAAAAGUUUCAUGUGUUUGGAAGGUGAUCAGAUUAUGAAGGUACUAUACCUGAUUUGCUCUUAGGAGUUGGGAUCCGGUUGGAAGAGGCCCAUCACUGAGGGUGACCUGGAAGAGCAUAUCUCUACUCCUGGUUCCUCCCUUUUCUCUUUGGUUCCUGGCAGCUGUGACAUGAGCAGCUUUCCUCCACCCAGGCCCUUCUACUGUGCUGUCUUCUGCAUCUGGACCUGCCAACCAUGGACUGAAGCCUCUAAAAGCUGUGAGCCAAAAUAAACCUCUCCUUUAAGUUGUGAGGGUCAAGUAUUGUGUCUCAGCGAUGAGAAAGUACGAUAGGGUGGCCACAUUCAUGUCCUGGAACAUAUAUAUUCAUUAAAAGCAUUGAUUCUCAACCCUGGGUUAUCAUUAGAAUCAUCAGAAGAGAUUCUAAAAAUUUUAAGCCAGAGACUGUCCAUUUCCAAGAUUCUAAUUUAAUCAGUCUGAAUUAGUUUGCAAUUUAUGGGACUCUAGAUAUUCAGGAAAGAUAGAAAACUUGAGUUCUUAUUGCUGCACAAUGUCAACCUGCGUCUUCCUAUGAAACAUACUGCUAGUAAUCUUUUAUAUUAGCAAAAGAUAUUCCAAUUUUCAGUUGGACACAUGGCUACCUGAAAUAAAAACUGUGUCUUUCAAU
Molecule: long non-coding RNA, 1137 nt
Organism: Heterocephalus glaber (naked mole-rat)
Lineage: Eukaryota; Metazoa; Chordata; Mammalia; Rodentia; Bathyergidae
Source: Ensembl